AGCUGGUGUUGUGAAUCAGGCC
Molecule: non-coding RNA, 22 nt
Filed under: Danio rerio (zebrafish)
Lineage: Eukaryota; Metazoa; Chordata; Actinopteri; Cypriniformes; Danionidae
Also listed under: 6 other names
Source: RNAcentral